Molecule: ribosomal RNA, 220 nt
Filed under: Segatella copri
Lineage: Bacteria; Pseudomonadati; Bacteroidota; Bacteroidia; Bacteroidales; Prevotellaceae
Description: partial 23S ribosomal RNA
Rfam family: Bacterial large subunit ribosomal RNA
Source: RNAcentral
AAGAAAGUAAGAAAGGGCGUAUGGCGGAUGCCUAGGCUCACGGAGGCGAUGAAGGACGUGAUAAGCUGCGAUAAGCUUCGGGUAGGUGCAAAUAACCUUUGAUCCGAAGAUUUCCGAAUGGGACAACCUAGCCGUCUGAAGGACGGUUACUAGCACUUAAGUGUUAGAGCUAACGCAGGGAACUGAAACAUCUUAGUACCUGCAGGAAGAGAAAAUAAAU